RNAcentral lists this long non-coding RNA (1031 nucleotides) under Canis lupus familiaris (dog). RNAcentral's name for it is "lncRNA (ENSCAFG00845009097.1)". Lineage: Eukaryota; Metazoa; Chordata; Mammalia; Carnivora; Canidae. The record is from RNAcentral.
CAGCCCCGGCCCGCGCGCCGCGUCGUUCCCCGGGAGACCGCGGCCGGCGCUUGGGGGCGGGCCCUCGGCCGCCCGUGCGUCUCUCUGGGAAACAAGCCGUCUUACUCUGAGGAAGCAGGAGUCCGCAAGGACCCGCCGCCUUUGGAACUCGUCGUUGCCGGCCUUCCGUGCGACCGCAGUUCAAGCUGUCCCCGCUGACCGCAAGAAAAAAAAAAAGAGAGAGAGAGAGAGAUCCCGGUAGGCUUUGAUGGGCGGGCCUGACGGCGGGACGCCAGCGGUGCGCGUGACGUCAGCGCGUUGACGUGGCUUCCUAGGCGGGAGGGAGUGCCGCUUGGGAGAGCUGCCGGGCUCCUGAAGGAGGCGUCAGCCAACAUCUAGUGAUCCGUUCCCCUUACCGAUCGCCUUGCCAGGAGCUGUGGAGAAGACGCGCUCGUAGUCAGGCACAAAAAGAUGUCCGCGUUUUCACCACAGCGCAGUUCAGUGUGGUGUUAGAGAAAGAAAUGCGCCAGGUAGGUGUGUUGCGGAAAUGCAGAGCCCUCUUUUAACCCAGUGAAGGAGUCCAGGAAAGAAGCGAGGAGAGAAGCAUCACCUAUGCCGGUCCUGGAGCCAGUACAGUUAGAGGAGCUGAGGAGGCUGCAGAAGCAAAUAGGCCACAACCGAAAGGGCCGCAUUUGGCACGUUUACGAGUUAGAGAUGAAGCUUGCAUGGACUCACAAGUGGAUUCCCUAGUGACGCUGUGGGGAGCCUGUGCAAGAAGCUGCAGUGGAUACCGAUAGACCUUCAUCCAGCCCCCUAUCUAGAUAAAUCCCCAGACCCUGGUCAUGUCCAAGCUCGCAGUGUAUACUUCUCCGUCAAUAACAGCUGGUACGCUUCACGUGUUAGCCAGGAUCAGCGAUUCCCUUGAUACCUGUGCUGUUACUUCAAGGGUAAAAGUAUACUAUGUCCUUGCCAACUGUGGCAGCAUGUUUCUUGGUAAAAAAAAAAAAAAAAAAAAUGUAUGCUUAAUCUUGAUGGUCUCACUACUACAUUAA